This 416-nucleotide ribosomal RNA is filed under the name Psychrobacter sp. PDD-30b-7. RNAcentral's name for it is "bacterial SSU rRNA". It matches the Rfam family "Bacterial small subunit ribosomal RNA", at positions 74 to 486 of the family's 1533-position model. The record is from RNAcentral. Lineage: Bacteria; Pseudomonadati; Pseudomonadota; Gammaproteobacteria; Moraxellales; Moraxellaceae.
AGAAGCUUGCUUCUCGCUGACGAGCGGCGGACGGGUGAGUAAUACUUAGGAAUCUACCUAGUAGUGGGGGAUAGCUCGGGGAAACUCGAAUUAAUACCGCAUACGACCUACGGGAGAAAGGGGGCAACUUGUUGCUCUCGCUAUUAGAUGAGCCUAAGUCGGAUUAGCUAGAUGGUGGGGUAAAGGCCUACCAUGGCGACGAUCUGUAACUGGUCUGAGAGGAUGAUCAGCCACACCGGGACUGAGACACGGCCCGGACUCCUACGGGAGGCAGCAGUGGGGAAUAUUGGACAAUGGGGGCAACCCUGAUCCACCCAUGCCGCGUGUGUGAAGAAGGCCUUUUGGUUGUAAAGCACUUUAAGCACUGAACAAGACUCCAUGGUUAAUACCCAUGGACGAUGACAUUAUCUGCACAA